RNAcentral lists this ribosomal RNA (717 nucleotides) under Lophiostoma macrostomoides. Its description in RNAcentral is "eukaryotic LSU rRNA". It matches the Rfam family "Eukaryotic large subunit ribosomal RNA", at positions 74 to 810 of the family's 3401-position model. Lineage: Eukaryota; Fungi; Ascomycota; Dothideomycetes; Pleosporales; Lophiostomataceae. The record is from RNAcentral.
AUUGCCCUAGUAACGGCGAGUGAAGCGGCAACAGCUCAAAUUUGAAAUCUGGCUCCUUUGGGGUCCGAGUUGUAAUUUGUAGAGGGUGCUUUGGUGUUGGCUGUGGUCUAAGUUCCUUGGAACAGGACGUCACAGAGGGUGAGAAUCCCGUACGUGGCCGCCAGCCUCCACCGUGUAAAGCCCCUUCGAUGAGUCGAGUUGUUUGGGAAUGCAGCUCUAAAUGGGAGGUAAAUUUCUUCUAAAGCUAAAUAUUUGCCAGAGACCGAUAGCGCACAAGUAGAGUGAUCGAAAGAUGAAAAGCACUUUGGAAAGAGAGUCAAAAAGCACGUGAAAUUGUUGAAAGGGAAGCGCUUGCAGCUAGACGUGCCUUGGGUUGAUCAGCCGGGCUUUUGCCCGGUGCACUCUUCCUUUGGCAGGCCAGCAUCAGUUUGGGCGGCUGGAUAAAGGUCUGUUAAACGUGACUUCCUUCGGGGAGAGCUUAUAGGGCAGACGACAUGCGGCCAGCCUGAACUGAGGUCCGCGCAUCUGCUAGGAUGCUGGCGUAAUAGCUGUAAGCGGCCCGUCUUGAAACACGGACCAAGGAGUCUAACAUCUAUGCGAGUGUUUGGGUGUCAAGCCCGAGCGCGUAAUGAAAGUAAACGGAGGUGGGAACCCUUUGGGUGCACCAUCGACCGAUCCUGAUGUCUUCGGAUGGAUUUGAGUAAGAGCAUAGCUGUU